Molecule: ribosomal RNA, 819 nt
Filed under: uncultured Acidobacteriota bacterium
Lineage: Bacteria; Pseudomonadati; Acidobacteriota
Description: bacterial SSU rRNA
Rfam family: Bacterial small subunit ribosomal RNA
Source: RNAcentral
CAAGUCGAACGAGAAAGUGGAGCAAUCCAUGAGUAAAGUGGCGACCGGGUGAGUAACACGUGACUAACCUACCUCCGAGUGGGGAAUAACUCCGGGAAACCGGGGCUAAUACCGCAUAACAUCGCAAGAUCAAAGCAGCAAUGCGCUUGGAGAGGGGGUCGCGGCUGAUUAGCUAGUUGGCGGGGUAACGGCCCACCAAGGCGAAGAUCGGUAUCCGGCCUGAGAGGGCGCACGGACACACUGGAGCUGAAACACGGUCCAGACUCCUACGGGAGGCAGCAGUGGGGAAUUUUGCGCAAUGGGGGAAACCCUGACGCAGCAACGCCGCGUGGAGGAUGAAGCCCCUUGGGGCGUAAACUCCUUUCGACCAAGACGAUAAUGACGGUACUGGUGGAAGAAGCACCGGCUAACUCUGUGCCAGCAGCCGCGGUGAUACAGAGGGUGCGAGCGUUGUUCGGAAUUAUUGGGCGUAAAGGGCGCGUAGGCGGUGCCACAAGUCACUUGUGAAAUCCCCGGGCUUAACUCGGGGCCUGCAGGCGAAACUGUGGUGCUGGAGUAUGGGAGAGGUGCGUGGAAUUCCCGGUGUAGCGGUGAAAUGCGUAGAUAUCGGGAGGAACACCUGUGGCGAAAGCGGCGCACUGGACCAUAACUGACGCUGAGGCGCGAAAGCUAGGGGAGCAAACAGGAUUAGAUACCCUGGUAGUCCUAGCCCUAAACGAUGAUUGCUUGGUGUAGCAGGUACCCAAUCCUGCUGUGCCGCAGCUAACGCGAUAAGCAAUCCGCCUGGGGAGUACGGUCGCAAGGCUGAAACUCAAAGGA